GUUUAGUAAGAAGGAAAUGGCGUCUCUGGGAUGCGACGGGCGCCGGACGUAGCUAAAGGAAUCACUUUUCCCCCUUAUAGCAAUUUGACUAAUUCUACCCCCUAGAUGUCUUUUGGAUAUAUUCUCUCUCCUCCACCCCCGUGCUGCAGACCAAGCUGUCAUCAUUUCUCACCCAGUCUGAUGCAAUAGCCUAAGAAUGGGAAUCCUGAGACGCAUCUUCUACUGCUAGCUGCCAGAUUGAUCUUUUGGAAACACCAAUGCAGAGUGAAGCAGAACCACUUAACCUGACCAUCAGUGGAAGAACAAAACUCAUGUAACUGAAACAAGAGAGUGACUGCAAUUUACAGAUGUAUGUGGUCAUUUACCUUGUGGUUUAUGAGAAGUAUUGAACACAGAGCCCAUGUUUAUAUACUCUCGUUUUUGCUGUGACCUGCAAAGUGCCCUGGGCUAAGUCGCUUCUCUUUUUUCUGUCCCAUCUGGAAAAAAAAAUGAGGAUAACACAUUUUCUUUAUCCUCAUAAGACAGACAAUUUGAUGUCUCUAAUUUAUGAUCAAAGGAAGACAAACCAACAUGCUUGACUAACAGGUAAAACAGUACACAGGACCAGGGUUCUGUAGUUCUAGCAUGGAUUCUGCCUCUUAGCUGUGAGAACUUCAGUAGGGAGACCUAAACUUCAGUAGGCCUUCACGUCCUUAUCUGUUUUAACUUGUAUCCCUGAGAUUCUGUGAUUCUUAGUUUAUAGGAAGUCAAGAAAGCUGACAUAUGAUCUUCCCUGACUAAUUCAGUCCAUAGACAAUUACACAGUCCUACCCUCAUCUCUCUUUACUCUGAGUUUCUACUGAAGUAUAGCAAGGCUAUACAGUCUAACCAGUAUUAGUCCUCUCAUGGUAAGUUCUACUAAAGCAGGGUUCCAUGUACGAAAUCCCAUCUCAUCCCCUCCCUCCCUUCCCCAACCCUGGCCAACUCCCAGAUCUAGGCGUUUGUUGUAGACUCAUAAUACUUGUUGGCUAAAGGAGGAAGUUCAGUGACUACAGCUAUCUCUUAAGAGUCAACUUCUCCUUUUACUUCUUUUACUUUACAGAGAAAAGAAAGGCCAUUUGGCAAGAAUUUCCUUUAAUAACUUCCCCCUCCAGCACACACACCCAAAAUUUAUUUGUGUUAAUUCAUCCUUGAAAAGAUUGGGAAAAUAUGACUAUAAUAAAAUUUGAAUCAUGUAUACAACCAAAAGCAUCCUUAUAAAGUUAAAGACAAGCCACAGACCACAGGAAGAUAUUUGCAAAAGAAGCCAUAACCAGAAUUUUUAAAUCCUGCGUAUCAUUAAGAAAACAGAUAAAUAACCCAAUGGAAAAGUGAAAAGAAUGGGGAGGAGGGGGAGAAGAUACAAAUAAGCAAUUUACAAAGGACCCCCAAAUGACCAAUAAACAUAUGAGGAAUACUCAAACUUAUGAAUAAUCAGGGAUAUGUCAACAAAAACUCAUCAAAUGGGAGAAAAUUUAAAAGUCUGGGGGAAAAAAACCCCCAGAAAGUGGUUAACACUCAUGCACAAUGGAUGGGAGUACAUGUUGUUUUAUCCACACUGGAGAGCAAGUUGGCUUUAUCUACUGAGGGGGCACUGACAGCAACAGUUUAAAAAUUAGAUCUGUAAUAUUUACAUGGUGAUAAGUCCUACGGAGAAAAAUAAAGGAGAGUAAGAGGAUGGGUAGUACAAAAUGAGGGCAUAGGUUGUAUUCAUUUUAGAGCAAAUAUUCAGGGAAGUCUCAUUGAAAAAUUGACUUUGGGGCUGAUAUUUGAAGCGGGUAAGAAUUGUGAACUGUGUGGAUAUCUGGUAGAAGAUCAUUCCAUGAAGAGGAAACACCAUGUGCCAAGACUGAGGUGGGAGUGCUCUAGUUUGGGACAUGUUGAAUUUGAAAGGUCUAUUAUACAUUCCAGAGGAAAUGCCAAGAGAGCAGUUGAAUAGAUAGAUACAAAUGUAGAUAUCACCCCUCUCUAGAAUGUCAGCCACAUGUGGGCAAGGCCUUGUCACUGCUGUAUCCCUGGCACUAAGAAAAGAGCCUUGAAUAGAGUAGAUGUUUGACGAAUAUUUGUUAAGUGAAUGUUGAAGCUACUUGAAUAGAAGAGAGUGAGAAGAAAACAUGGAUAAGGAAGGAACGCUCACUGGCACUCACAGGCUGGGUGGUAGAACAAGAGCCUGUAAAACAGCCCAAGGUCCCACAACCAAAGGAAGGAAAUCCAAGAGAGAAUAAUGUCCAGAAGCCACAAUCAGAGUUUCCAUAAGAAAGAUGUCAAAUAUUGCAAAGAUCAGGUGAGGUGAGAACUACAGGGUGGCUGUCUUUGAGAGGUAGAAGAGCCUUGGUGUCUUUGUGGAUGAUAGUUAUUUCAGUCAUUUCAUAUGUAUUAUGUAUAUAUGAUAUAUAUGUAUCUCAUGUGUAUGAAAUAAAGUAGACUUGGGGAGGAGCAGGUUUGCUGAGGUGGGAGUGAGAGAAAAGAAUUUAGUUUAAUUGGGGCUUGGUUAAGUGUGUGGUGUCUAUUAGAGAUCAACAUGGAGAUAUAAAGUGGGUACUAGAAUUUAUUUAACAAAUAUUUAUUGGGCACCUGGAAUUCCAUGGCUGUUAAUAGCAGAUAGUUUAUAUUGGAUUAACCCUUUUAUACAUAAUAAUUAUAAACUUGGGGUGGUAGGGGGAUUACCUAAAAGCAUUAAAGAGUGACCAACCUAGAAACUAGAGAAGAGUUGACACUUAGAAGGAGGGAAUGGCACAAGAUGAGUUUCUUGUUUGUUUUUUUAAAAUGACUUUCUGCCCAAGGGCAAGUUCCAGUCAGCUCCAUGCUGGAGCAGUUAGAAUGUGGAUAGAAACCCACAGUUUUGGUGAAUUGAUCUGUGGAAUUAGAAGAUAGAAUUUGAAGCUAUCACAGCAAGUGGAAGACGGUGGUGGUGGAGGUAUCCUAGAAAGAAGAAAACCUCCAAAUUCUUCACAUUAAGUUUUCCCAAACCUCUGGCUGAUCUCUGAACAAUACUAAUGUGUGGCAGACUUCAGUCAGCCUAGCCGAUGAUGAAGAACUGAAUAGAAGUUUCAACUUGCCCACCACGGAGGAGAAAAACUUCUUCUAAUUAAGUUAACUCUUUAGUAAAACAAAAAAUUUAAGUAUUUUUCAGAGGAACGUAACAGGUAGUCUCUGUAAUGUAUCGUUCACAAUGUACAAGCACAAUCCAAAAUUACUAGACAAUCAAAGAAACAAUAAUGGAAUCAUAUUCAAGAGAAAAGACAAUUAAUGGAGACUGAUCCUAAGAUGAUGCAGAAGUCAGAAUUAGGAGACAAUUAUUUUAAAUUAGCUAUUAUAACUCUGUUCAAGAACAUAAAGAUAUAUUCAUAAUGAAUGAACAGAUGGGAAGCAUGCCACCUGCCACAUUCUCCUGGGGGAAGCCUGGAGUCCCUCUGGACUUGUCCUUUUCUUUCUUCUUUAACUCAAUGGGGUAUCAACUCCAUCUAUUAUACCAAAUCUCUUUCCCCCCUCAGAGCUGCUUAGUUCACCCCUUAUCAUUUAGAGCUUGGAAGCCUCCUAAGUUGUCACCUUGCUCUUUCUUCUUUCAGCUGCCAGAAUCAUUAUUUUAGUCCCUAGUUCUUAUCAGCCAAAGGAGAGAAACUUUGUACAUAUGCUUAGGUACAGAGAUCUGAGGGUACUGAGACAUAUUUGGCUUUUUUUCCUACCAAGAGAAUAAUUCAGGCUAAGUGUUUCACCUUUUUAGGUGAUCAUCUCUUUGUAUGGUCACUAGCACAUGGGUAGACCAGCUGACUUAAACUAGGAGAGUGGUCCUUUUCAGUGAAAUUGUUUUUGCAUUCUCCCCAGUUAUAGGCGAUAGACUGCCCUUAUUUGCUUUUUAUAUCACUUUUUGUGGAAUAGUACUCAUGCUCACCAUUCAUAUUCCUUUGGUCUCUGUUUCUAACCUAGCUUUCACAGGCCCCCUUAUGGGUGUAUCUUGAAUAGGUUUAAGCGACUCAUUUGCCAAAACAAGGCCCAAAUUUCUCCAAAAUGUUAUCUUUUGUUUGCUAUCAUUUUCAGCUCAUCAGCAUUAUUGAUUUUAGAUCCACCAAGAAGAGAACACUAUGGGAUUGACACUAGAGCAAUGAUUCUCUCUGAACUUAGAGACUAGCACAAACUAGGAAAAAUGGAACCUGCAGAAAGGUUUGGCUCUCCCAGCUCAGCGGGUGUGAGUCAUCUUUAACUUCGUAGGGAGGCCUCUGCUACUGCAUCACCCCGACAUGAGCUGCCCUCUCGCACAUUCCUGCUCUUGCUUCUGCUCCAUCGUCCAUCUUCCAAAGUUUGUUGGGUACAGAUCUGGGAACCAGGUGAGCCAGCUCUUACCUCUGCCUUCACUGGCUUAUGCCAGUCCUCUCCUCUGUGUCCUGGUAUUUUCUUUCUAGGAGCUCCCAGACAAUAACCAUUCUCUUACAAAGUUUAUAGUAUAGCCCUCUGCUUGAAAAGUAGGCACACAGUUUGAGUUUUUUCAUUGCGGAAGCUAAUUACCACAUUAAUACUUGAUGUAGAUAUCUCUUGACCUACCCAGAGUUCUCACCCUGAAGACACUCAGUAAAUAACAUAGGAAGGGCUCUAGAAACCUGGGAGAGGCGAUAUUCCUUGAGAGCAUCCAGCUUAAGCUACAUAUGGCAAGUCUGUUGCCAACCCUCUUUCUAUCUCUGAGAAAUUCCUUCAGCAGGAGUGAGACCCCUUUGGAGUUCACUAAAACACAAUUUAGAUGCAGCAGAAGUAGCAACAACAAAGGUAUACAGAAGAAGGAAAAUAAGUUGUUAAGAACAGUGAGUAAUAAUAGCAUUUUCUAAAAAAUCAAUAUCCACAUAUUUCUAUGCGUGAGGUGCAUUCAUCAGUGCGAGUGGGUGACAUUUGUCCCAGCCUGGCUGAGUGAGCCAGGGCUGCGUGACUCACCUGCUGUGCCAUCAGCAAACCACCAAGCCUCCUGCCUGGGAAUUAACAAACUCACUAAAGGAAAUCUGUCACUAACUGAAUCUUUAAAUGUAAUCCAAUUGCCAGUCAAUUUACAAACUUUCUGCAUAUUCUUCAGGUCAUUUCUAACCUCCCUCCUUUGCAGCCUGGCUGGAUUGUAUCGGGUUUAUCUUAGUUUGCUCUGAGGGGGGAAUUGAAAUGCCUCCUUUUCUAAGAAUAUCAUUGUGUAUCUCUCUCACCACAGGUUGGGUAGAACAGAGAGGUGAUCUCAUAGGGUUUUUCCACCCAAUGAUUCUGAUUUUUUAAAACACAAAUAUGUGAAAGCCCCAAUCAUUGCCUCUUAAAAUCCCCUUUGUGCUCAAAGAGGAAGCUUGGUGAAUAGUUUGAGCGAAGUAUCAGGAAUAUCAGAUAGCACUGAUUCACUGAGUUCUGGAAACAAACCUCAGUUUCUUCAAUCAUUGGUUCAAGAUGAGAAAACUUCCCUUUGUCACAUACUAAUAUGACAACAAACGAGAGAUCAGCCUGUCCUCUGACAAACAUGACACAUGAAUUUGACAAGUGCUCCAUCUUUUUCCACCCCGGCUCGUGCUGUGCUCUUCUGGCUACAUUGCUUCCUUGGGUUCUCUGUUCAAGUCUUAAACCACCUGUGGAGGUCCCACUCUCUCCCAGUAACCUUCCCCAACUUGCUGGCUUAGAGGCAGCUUUUCCUCCCCUGAACUCCUCUGGCACAUAAGUCAGAAUCUUUAGUCGAUUUUCAGGGUAGAGACUAUGCUGAAUUCUUAUUCGCACAUCUAUAGGAUGGUGGUACUUAGCCUAUGCCGCUGGUGUGCAAUGUUGACUGGGCAUCGGAAUCACCUGUGCAACUUUUGAAAACUACAGAUGUCCAGAUCUCACAACGGACCUUCUAAAUAAAGUAGACUCACUAUUUAGGUGAUUCUGAUUUACCCCUGGGAUGAGAACUACCACUUUGCCAUCAUUGUGAGGAUUGCAUGGACUACUAUGUAGACAGGCACUUUUUAAAAACUAUAGACUUUCAUUAUAAAUUCUAAUUAUGACUUAGAGUGAAUGCUAUGGCUGCUCCCUAGCCCCACGUUUAGCCCUUAGCUCCUACUCCCUAAUAGUACCUCUGUAUGUUCAAAGGGCCACCCUUCCUCAACACAGUCCCCUUGCUUCAGAGGAAGCCCACCCCACCUUCAGUGUGAGGUGAGGGGCUGAAUGGUCUGAGACUAAAUGCAUGAUUCAGGAAUGGGGUUUGUGACCUAAUUCUGGCCACUGAGAAGCAAGAAGAAUGCUAAAGACUUCUGGGAAGGGUCUUCCUCUUCUAGGAAGCGUCACCCUUUCUUUUGCUAUUACCCUAGUUGUUACUGGCAGCCACUGUGUGGUCUUUCUCUCUCCCUCCUCCUCCCCCCUUUCCAGAGGGGGAGAAGAAGUUUUAGGAUGAAGCUGUGAAAGUCCUGGAUCCUUGAUGGUGGGUCAAGCAAAACUGAGUUAUGUAAAUUUGGACUUCCACUUACGUGCACCAAUAAAUGCAUGAUUGUUUAAAACAGUUCUGUUACUUGUGGCUGAAAUAUCCUCCCAGAUACACUUGUUUUUAUUCCUCAGUCCCAAGUAUCAGCUGGCACAAUGCCCCCUUUAGCAAAUGCGCAAUAAGCAUUUGUUGACUGAAUGAAGGAGUUUAUGCGAGUGCCUAUAUAUGCCAAGUACAGGAGGUGCAGUAACUAAACAAAGUUUCUGUCAUCAUGGAUGUUAUAUUCUGGCGGGAAUAAAACUGCAUUUGUGGGUCAGGUUGGCAACUUCUCUGGAGAAAUAAGCUUAAUGUUUCUACUUGUGCAGGUAGAUGGGUUCAACCAUCUGAGAACAGGAACACUUGCGCCCAAGGGCCACUGCUCAGGAAUUCACCUGACCACUAGAGUGACCUUCUGAAGUUAAAGAAAAGGGAAAUGACAAAUGGGAUCACGAAGAGUACUUUGUUCCCAAGUUUAUGACUCAGACAAAAAAACAUACUGCUCUUAUUACCAUAUCUCAGACUCAGCACUUAAGACAGGUGAUUGCAGAGGACCAAGUGGGGAGUAACAAUCUGAAAAGGUUAGGAAAGCUUGAUUUUAGUAAGUGAGUGGAAUUUGAAGAAGGGAAAACCCAUGACCUACUGAGUGUCCAUCUAUGAGUGUGUGAAAGGUAAUCACCAGUGGU
Molecule: long non-coding RNA, 7146 nt
Organism: Camelus dromedarius (Arabian camel)
Lineage: Eukaryota; Metazoa; Chordata; Mammalia; Artiodactyla; Camelidae
Exons: 4
Source: RefSeq, a predicted model, not a curated record